Cephus cinctus (wheat stem sawfly) is the source of this 672-nucleotide long non-coding RNA. RefSeq lists it as uncharacterized. The transcript has 3 exons. The record is from RefSeq and is a predicted model, not a curated record. NCBI's taxonomy places the organism in Eukaryota, Metazoa, Arthropoda, Insecta, Hymenoptera, Cephidae.
UCGUGACCAGGUCCUCAUUGGUGCGUCGUUGUCGCAGCCGCCUGCCUUCUGCAACGCGAAGAAAUAUACGAGAUGGAAAGUUCGCGUCACGGAGAGUCUAAAGUCAGUUGGAGCGUUGGUGUCGUUUUACAUACGUGCACCUACCGAAAACCGAACCGCGACGAAAUUCCGCGUGCGUUUCUUCGCGGUGCUCAUUAGGGUUACAGUACCGUGAUAAAUGUGGGCACGAGAUGCACGUGCGCCUUAACGGUUACUGUACCGUACCCUACCUACUCAGCCAGUAAGCUGAACCGGCCAGCCGUUGCGAACGCGGAUUUACGAUUUCUCAGAUGAAAAUAAACCUGGACCGUUUAGAGCCACCAUACUCCCACUGCAUCCAGAUAUAUUUCCAUGGACCAGAAUGACUCUUGUAAUCGGCGCCAUAGCGUCGAGCAAGGUGUAACACGUAAAUUUGCGUGUCUUAAAAAAAUCAAACCGAUAAAUCAUUUUGUUGGAGUGAAAGAUUUGUUUAUAAAAAAAACAAGGACAAAAAGUAUUUUUUUUCUUCAAAUUAUGGAUUUUUGAAUUUGCGAAGCAUGGGUCAAGGAUAUGUCGAAUCAGUGAUGAAAAUACGGUGCAAAGUCAGGAACGACGAGACGAAUAAGUCGAAUAAUAACGAAUAAUAACGAGUCG